Molecule: non-coding RNA, 113 nt
Filed under: Paenibacillus naphthalenovorans
Lineage: Bacteria; Bacillati; Bacillota; Bacilli; Caryophanales; Paenibacillaceae
Description: TPP sequence
Rfam family: TPP riboswitch aptamer (THI element)
About the family: Vitamin B(1) in its active form thiamin pyrophosphate (TPP) is an essential coenzyme that is synthesised by coupling of pyrimidine and thiazole moieties in bacteria. The previously detected thiamin-regulatory element, thi box was extended, resulting in a new, highly conserved RNA secondary structure, the THI element, which is widely distributed in eubacteria and also occurs in some archaea.
Source: Rfam by way of RNAcentral
UUGAAUAACAACGGGAGCUUGGGAGUUGCCAGGCUGAGAGGACAGCCGAUUGCUGUCGACCGUAAAACCUGAUCUGGGUAAUGCCAGCGGAGGAAAAGUCCUAGCCUUUGUGU